This 487-nucleotide ribosomal RNA is filed under the name uncultured bacterium. RNAcentral's name for it is "bacterial SSU rRNA". It matches the Rfam family "Bacterial small subunit ribosomal RNA", at positions 15 to 518 of the family's 1533-position model. The record is from RNAcentral.
GAUCAUGGCUCAGGAUGAACGCUGGCGGCGUGCUUAACACAUGCAAGUCGAACGAGCGGAGGACCUCCGGGUCCGAAGCGAGUGGCGGACGGGUGAGUAACGCGUGGGUAACCUGCCUUAUACCGGGGGAUAACAGAUGGAAACGACUGUUAAUACCGCAUAAGCCCACAGUGCCGCAUGGUACAGUGAGAAAAGUUCCGGCGAUAUAAGAUGGACCCGCGUCUGAUUAGUUAGUUGGUGGGGUAACGGCCUACCAAGACGACGAUCAGUAGCCGACCUGAGAGGGUGAUCGGCCACAUUGGGACUGAGACACGGCCCAAACUCCUACGGGAGGCAGCAGUGGGGAAUAUUGGGCAAUGGGCGCAAGCCUGACCCAGCGACGCCCGCGUGAGUGAAGAAGUAUUUCGGUAUGUAAAGCUCUAUCAGCAGGGAAGAUCAUGACGGUACCUGACUAAGAAGCACCGGCUAAAUACGUGCCAGCAGCCGC